GCCCGUAGUGUGGAACUUCAUGUUCCAUGCUAUGCACUGUAUAUUUUGAGGUCAAACACUUCAUCUUACCAGCCGUCUGGAAGUUGAGCGCUACCAUGUGACAGCCACACAUCCACAGCGGAUACGGGUCAUAGUUGGAGGAAUCCACCCGCUGGCCUUUAGGAUAGAUGCGGCUCAAAGCCUUGCGGUUAUACAACAUGAACUGAGUCAGCUUGUUUCUGGAGGGCGUCUUAUUCUCUACGAAGGAGCGGACUUCUUUGUAGGUAUAAUUAUCUUA
Molecule: long non-coding RNA, 277 nt
Filed under: Danio rerio (zebrafish)
Lineage: Eukaryota; Metazoa; Chordata; Actinopteri; Cypriniformes; Danionidae
Description: si:ch211-260p9.8 (ENSDARG00000097661.2)
Source: RNAcentral